This 465-nucleotide ribosomal RNA is filed under the name uncultured bacterium. Its description in RNAcentral is "partial 16S ribosomal RNA". It matches the Rfam family "Bacterial small subunit ribosomal RNA", at positions 339 to 795 of the family's 1533-position model. The record is from RNAcentral.
CUACGGGGUGCUGCAGUGGGGAAUAUUGGACAAUGGGGGAAACCCUGAUCCAGCAAUGCCGCGUGUGUGAAGAAGGCCUGCGGGUUGUAAAGCACUUUCGGUUGGGAGGACUGCUUCUAGCACUAAUAUUGUUGGAAGUUGACGUUACCUUCAGAAGAAGCACCGGCUAACUCCGUGCCAGCAGCCGCGGUAAUACGGAGGGCGCAAGCUUUAAUCGGAAUUACUGGGCGUAAAGCGCGCGUAGGCGGCUAGAUCAGUCGGGUGUGAAAGCCCCGGGCUUAACCUGGGAACUGCAUCCGAUACUGUCUAGCUUGAGUACAGGAGAGGAGAGUGGAAUUCCACAUGUAGCGGUGAUAUGCGUAGAUAUGUGGAGGAACACCAAUGGCGAAGGCAGCUCUCUGGCCUGAUACUGACGCUGAGGUGCGAAAGCGUGGGGAGCAAACAGGAUUAGAUACCCUAGUAGUC